AUCCAGACUCCUACGGGAGGCAGCAGUGGGGAAUAUUGCACAAUGGGGGAAACCCUGAUGCAGCGACGCCGCGUGAGCGAAGAAGUAUUUCGGUAUGUAAAGCUCUAUCAGCAGGGAAGAAAAUGACGGUACCUGACUAAGAAGCUCCGGCUAAAUACGUGCCAGCAGCCGCGGUAAUACGUAUGGAGCAAGCGUUAUCCGGAUUUACUGGGUGUAAAGGGAGCGCAGGCGGCUUUGCAAGUCUGAUGUGAAAGGCCGGAGCUCAACCCCGGGACUGCAUUGGAAACUGUAAAGCUAGAGUGCCGGAGAGGUAAGCGGAAUUCCUAGUGUAGCGGUGAAAUGCGUAGAUAUUAGGAGGAACACCAGUGGCGAAGGCGGCUUACUGGACGGCAACUGACGCUGAGGCUCGAAAGCGUGGGGAGCAAACAGGAUUAGAUACCCCUGUA
RNAcentral lists this ribosomal RNA (446 nucleotides) under uncultured bacterium. RNAcentral's name for it is "bacterial SSU rRNA". It matches the Rfam family "Bacterial small subunit ribosomal RNA", at positions 329 to 792 of the family's 1533-position model. The record is from RNAcentral.